GAGUUUGAUUCUGGCUCAGAAUGAACGCUGGCGGCAUGCCUUACACAUGCAAGUCGAACGGCAACGGGCCCUUCGGGGUGCCGGCAAGUGGCGAACGGGUGAGUAACACAUCGGAACGUACCCUGUGGUGGGGGAUAACCCGUCGAAAGACGGGCUAAUACCGCAUAAGCUCUGCGGAGGAGAGCGGGGGACCGUCAAGGCCUCGCGCCACAGGAGCGGCCGAUGUCCGAUUAGCUAGUUGGUAGGGUAAAGGCCUACCAAGGCGACGAUCGGUAGCGGGUCUGAGAGGACGGCCCGCCACACUGGGACUGAGACACGGCCCAGACUCCUACGGGAGGCAGCAGUGGGGAAUCUUGGACAAUGGGGGAAACCCUGAUCCAGCAAUGCCGCGUGGGUGAAGAAGGCCUUCGGGUUGUAAAGCCCUUUUAGCAGGGAAGAAAUCGGCUAGGUAAAUAAUCUAGCUGGAUGACGGUACCUGCAGAAAAAGCACCGGCUAACUACGUGCCAGCAGCCGCGGUAAUACGUAGGGUGCGAGCGUUAAUCGGAUUUACUGGGCGUAAAGCGUGCGCAGGCGGUCCGCUAAGACAGGUGUGAAAUCCCUGGGCUUAACCUAGGAAUUGCGCUUGUGACUGGUGGGCUAGAGUACGGUAGAGGGGGGUGGAAUUCCUGGUGUAGCAAGUGAAAUGCGUAGAGAUCA
This 697-nucleotide ribosomal RNA is filed under the name uncultured beta proteobacterium. RNAcentral's name for it is "bacterial SSU rRNA". It matches the Rfam family "Bacterial small subunit ribosomal RNA", at positions 9 to 699 of the family's 1533-position model. Lineage: Bacteria; Pseudomonadati; Pseudomonadota; Betaproteobacteria. The record is from RNAcentral.